RNAcentral lists this long non-coding RNA (539 nucleotides) under Androctonus crassicauda. The record is from RNAcentral. Lineage: Eukaryota; Metazoa; Arthropoda; Arachnida; Scorpiones; Buthidae.
ACGACAGCGCCAAAAAACAAACAUUUGUAUUUAGCUCAACUUAGCAAAUACAUUCAUAGUAUUUAAAAAAUAUGGAGAAGAUUGAUUCAGUUGAAGUUAAAAUAUUUGAUAAAAGUGACAAAUUAGUAUCUAUUUUAACGGAAUCUGUUAAAUGCCACAAUCAAUUGAAAAAUUUGUCGUCGGCUGUACGCAAAAUUCAAGAAUCGACAAAUGAUAUCUUAACCACGUUCGUUUCAGAAGAAAAGAAAUCACUGGAAGAGGAUAUUCAAGAUGACGAUGUCAAUGAGGAGGAUGAAUUAUAUAAACCUAAAAAGCAGAAGAUUUCUUGACGAGUUGUUAUACUGACCAGAAAAAUUUCAAUAGUCUAAACAAGAAUUCUGCUCAAAUAUAGUGAAAACUUUAUCAUGGAAUUUUACAUAACUGCAUGAUUUUCAUAAAUUAUUUUAAUAGACGGCUACGAAAUCAAUACGUUAUCGAAAAAAUUCUAAUAAAUUAAUGUACAAUAAAAUAUAUAAAUCCAUAUUAAAUUUUUCCUAGUU